Molecule: ribosomal RNA, 253 nt
Filed under: uncultured bacterium
Lineage: Bacteria
Description: partial 16S ribosomal RNA
Rfam family: Bacterial small subunit ribosomal RNA
Source: RNAcentral
CACGUAGGGCGCAAGCGUUGUCCGGAAUUAUUGGGCGUAAAGAGCUCGUAGGCGGUCUGUCGCGUCGGAUGUGAAAACCCAGGGCUCAACCCUGGGCCUGCAUUCGAUACGGGCAGACUAGAGUUCGGUAGGGGAGACUGGAAUUCCUGGUGUAGCGGUGAAAUGCGCAGAUAUCAGGAGGAACACCGGUGGCGAAGGCGGGUCUCUGGGCCGAAACUGACGCUGAGGAGCGAAAGCGUGGGGAGCAAACAGG